Molecule: non-coding RNA, 114 nt
Organism: Vicugna pacos (alpaca)
Lineage: Eukaryota; Metazoa; Chordata; Mammalia; Artiodactyla; Camelidae
Source: RefSeq, a predicted model, not a curated record
CGCAAUGAGAGCUUUCCAGAUUUACUCUCUUAGCAACUUUCAAAUAUGCACUACAGUGUUACUAGCUAUAGUCACCGUGCUGGGCAUUACAUUCCCAGGGCUAAUUUAUUUUAU